GUCCUUGCCGUAAACGAUGUAUACUUGAUGUAAUUGGGCUCAACCCUGAUUGUGUCGAAGCUAACGCGAUAAGUAUACCGCCUGGGGAGUACGCUCGCAAGGGUGAAACUCAAAAGAAUUGACGGGGGCCCCACACAAGCAGUGGAGCAUGUGGUUUAAUUCUAUGCAACGCGAAGAACCUUACCCAGGCUCGAAAUGUAAAGGACGAUAUCAGAGAUGAUAUUUCCCGCAAGGGCUUUUAUAUAGGUGCUGCAUGGCUGUCGU
RNAcentral lists this ribosomal RNA (264 nucleotides) under uncultured bacterium. RNAcentral describes it as "partial 16S ribosomal RNA". It matches the Rfam family "Bacterial small subunit ribosomal RNA", at positions 793 to 1055 of the family's 1533-position model. The record is from RNAcentral.